Molecule: ribosomal RNA, 366 nt
Filed under: uncultured microorganism
Description: bacterial SSU rRNA
Rfam family: Bacterial small subunit ribosomal RNA
Source: RNAcentral
GAGUUUGAUCAUGGCUCAGGAUGAACGCCGGCGGUGUGCCUAAUACAUGCAAGUCGUACGCACUGGCCCAACUGAUUGAUGGUGCUUGCACCUGAUUGACGAUGGAUCACCAGUGAGUGGCGGACGGGUGAGUAACACGUAGGUAACCUGCCCGGAGCGGGGAUAACAUUUGGAAACAGAUGCUAAUACCGCAUAACAACAAAGGCCACAUGGCUUUUGUUUGAAAGAUGGCUUUGGCCAUCACUCUGGGAUGGACCUGCGGUGCAUUAGCUAGUUGGUAAGGUAACGGCUUACCAAGGCGAUAAUGCAUAGCCGAGUUGAGAGACUGAUCGGCCACAAUGGAACUGAGACACGGUCCAUACCUCC